UACGUAGGGGGCAAGCGUUAUUCGGAAUUAUUGGGCGUAAAGGGCGCGUAGGCGGCUUCGUAAGUCCGUUGUGAAAGUCAAAGGCUCAACCUUUGAAUGCCGAUGGAUACUGCGGAGCUAGAGUACGGAAGAGGCGAGUGGAAUUCCUGGUGUAGCGGUGGAAUGCGCAGAUAUCAGGAGGAACACCAAUAGCGAAGGCAGCUCGCUGGGACGUUACUGACACUAAGGCGCGAAAGCGUGGGGAGCAAACA
This 251-nucleotide ribosomal RNA is filed under the name uncultured bacterium. Its description in RNAcentral is "partial 16S ribosomal RNA". It matches the Rfam family "Bacterial small subunit ribosomal RNA", at positions 524 to 774 of the family's 1533-position model. The record is from RNAcentral.